RNAcentral lists this ribosomal RNA (714 nucleotides) under Triticum aestivum (bread wheat). Its description in RNAcentral is "partial small subunit ribosomal RNA". The record is from RNAcentral. Lineage: Eukaryota; Viridiplantae; Streptophyta; Magnoliopsida; Poales; Poaceae.
AUGGAGAGGGUUAGGACCAUUCUGACUCAUGGAUACCCAUACCCACAUGAGCAUUCGAGACAUUUCAUGAUUAGGAAGACUAUCAAGCCACACUAUUCACACUUUAGUCGCUGGUACGUUGCUUGGAUAUUCUUGGCAGCAUUAUGGCAUCUCCCUAGUUUUCAGUCAAUGGGGUUGGAUUUGAGGAUGAAUCUUUCCCUCUUCCUCGCUGUUUAUAUUUCCUCUCUAAUCAUCUUCCACGUCACAUUUCUUGGACUCUGGUAUUUGGAUCUUGUUUCUCGCAUGGCAGAGAAAAAGCCAGAGAUGCUUACUAUAAUCAAAAAUUGCGCAGUGGUAAGUAUAGCUUGCUGCGUGUUCUACAACCACUGUGGUAACAGGACCCUUUCAAGGGACAAAUCUAUUGAUCAUAGAACUGCAUUUUCACUGUGGAUAAAGCAAAAUGAGUACAAUACACUGAUUUCAAAGCUAUGGCGUAUGCAUAAGUUUAAAGAUCAUAUUUGCUCGCCCUGGUUUGCUCCGGUUGGCUUUGCCAGUGAUUAUCCACUUCUAUCGAAAUGGGCCAUUUAUGGAGAAUUAGCUUCCAAUGGAUCCGAACGCUCCAACAUCAUUUCACCUGUCUACUCUUUGUGGGAUACAUUCAUUGGUCUUUACAUGGCCAAUUAUGUCGUGGAGCGGUCAACUGGCCUCCUGCUUGGUAUACGCCUGAACACGUAA